GGGUCUGUAGCUCAGGUGGUUAGAGCGCACCCCUGAUAAGGGUGAGGUCGGAAGUUCAAGUCUUCCCAGACCCA
Molecule: transfer RNA, 74 nt
Organism: Hirschia baltica ATCC 49814
Lineage: Bacteria; Pseudomonadati; Pseudomonadota; Alphaproteobacteria; Hyphomonadales; Hyphomonadaceae
Rfam family: tRNA
About the family: Transfer RNA (tRNA) molecules are approximately 80 nucleotides in length. Their secondary structure includes four short double-helical elements and three loops (D, anti-codon, and T loops). Further hydrogen bonds mediate the characteristic L-shaped molecular structure. tRNAs have two regions of fundamental functional importance: the anti-codon, which is responsible for specific mRNA codon recognition, and the 3' end, to which the tRNAs corresponding amino acid is attached (by aminoacyl-tRNA synthetases). tRNAs cope with the degeneracy of the genetic code in two manners: having more than one tRNA (with a specific anti-codon) for a particular amino acid; and 'wobble' base-pairing, i.e. permitting non-standard base-pairing at the 3rd anti-codon position.
Source: Rfam